Molecule: transfer RNA, 75 nt
Filed under: Chloroflexota bacterium
Lineage: Bacteria; Bacillati; Chloroflexota
Also listed under: 1 other name
Description: Chloroflexi bacterium tRNA-Thr
Rfam family: tRNA
About the family: Transfer RNA (tRNA) molecules are approximately 80 nucleotides in length. Their secondary structure includes four short double-helical elements and three loops (D, anti-codon, and T loops). Further hydrogen bonds mediate the characteristic L-shaped molecular structure. tRNAs have two regions of fundamental functional importance: the anti-codon, which is responsible for specific mRNA codon recognition, and the 3' end, to which the tRNAs corresponding amino acid is attached (by aminoacyl-tRNA synthetases). tRNAs cope with the degeneracy of the genetic code in two manners: having more than one tRNA (with a specific anti-codon) for a particular amino acid; and 'wobble' base-pairing, i.e. permitting non-standard base-pairing at the 3rd anti-codon position.
Source: RNAcentral
GCCGAUGUAGCUCAAUGGUAGAGCAACGGUUUUGUAAACCGUAGGUUCCGGGUUCAAGUCCCGGUGUCGGCUCCA